AUACGGAGGAUGCAAGCGUUAUCCGGAUUUAUUGGGUUUAAAGGGUGCGUAGGCGGUUUGCUAAGCGGGAGGUGAAAUGCCGGCGCUCAACGUCGGAAGUGCCCCCCGAACUGGUGGACUUGAAUGACUCUGCCGUGGGAGGAAUGUGUAGUGUAGCGGUGAAAUGCUUAGAGAUUACACAGAACACCGAUUGCGAAGGCAUCUCACGAAGGGUUGAUUGACGCUGAGGCACGAAAGCGUGGGGAUCAAACAGGAUUAGAUACCCUGGUAGUCCACGCAGUAAACGAUGAUGGCUAACCGCUGGGCUUAUCAGUUCAGUGGCCAAGCGAAAGCGAUAAGCCAUCCACCUGGGGAGUACGACCGCAAGGUUGAAACUCAAAGGAAUUGACGGGG
Molecule: ribosomal RNA, 393 nt
Filed under: uncultured bacterium
Lineage: Bacteria
Description: partial 16S ribosomal RNA
Rfam family: Bacterial small subunit ribosomal RNA
Source: RNAcentral